Molecule: ribosomal RNA, 295 nt
Filed under: Nitrososphaerota archaeon
Lineage: Archaea; Thermoproteati; Nitrososphaerota
Description: partial 23S ribosomal RNA
Rfam family: Archaeal large subunit ribosomal RNA
Source: RNAcentral
CUUGCUCCUAGUACGAGAGGAACAGAGCAAGGCGGCCUCUGGUGUACCGGUUGUCCGACAGGGCAGCGCCGGGCAGCUAAGCCGCUGAGGAUAACCCCUGAAAGCAUCUAAGGGGGAAGCCUUUCCCGAGAAGAGAUUUCCGUCUGCUUCUGGAUUCUCGCCGCAAGGCGGGGGUCCGGGGCGGAGGAGGACUCCGAUAGAAUAUCGGAUCGAUAGGACGGGGGUGUACGCUGGAAGCUCCGCAAGGGGCGACCAGUUCAGCUCGCCGUUACUAACCGUCCAACGCUCCCGUCAU